CCUACGGGAGGCAGCAGUCGAGAAUCAUUCACAAUGGGGGAAACCCUGAUGGUGCGACGCCGCGUGGGGGAAUGAAGGUCUUCGGAUUGUAAACCCCUGUCAUGUGGGAGCAAAUUAAAAAGAUAGUACCACAAGAGGAAGAGCCGGCUAACUCUGUGCCAGCAGCCGCGGUAAUACAGAGGUCUCAAGCGUUGUUCGGAAUCACUGGGCGUAAAGCGUGCGUAGGCUGUUUCGUAAGUCGUGUGUGAAAGGCGCGGGCUCAACCCGCGGACGGCACAUGAUACUGCGAGACUAGAGUAAGGGAGGGGGAACCGGAAUUCUCGGUGUAGCAGUGAAAUGCGUAGAUAUCGAGAGGAACAUUCGUGGCGAAGGCGGGUUCCUGGACAUUAACUGACGCUGAGGCACGAAGGCCAGGGGAGCGAAAGGGAUUAGAUACCCGAGUAGUC
This 446-nucleotide ribosomal RNA is filed under the name uncultured bacterium. RNAcentral's name for it is "partial 16S ribosomal RNA". It matches the Rfam family "Bacterial small subunit ribosomal RNA", at positions 338 to 795 of the family's 1533-position model. The record is from RNAcentral.